ACAAACUUUCCUGCUCACUAACUCAAAUACCCUUUUCCUUUGAUGUGAGAACCUAUCUUUAGGCUUUGGCUGGAGCCACAUCAAGUAAGAAUGGACUUUCUAUGGCAAUCCCUGUGGGCUCUGCCAUCCUCACAGGAUCUCUAAGCAGGAGCACCAUGAAGAGACAGAGAGGCAAAGGCUUUCCAGAGCUGUGAUAAUAAUCUUUGUUGUGCAGGAAUGGCUCUCUACAGGAUUAGACUGUAUUAUCAUUUGUAUUUCUGGUGCUUGCUGGCUUCCCUCAUCUAUCUGUAGGAAAUAAAAUUUGUCCUGAAGGAUCUGUGAGAUUCCAGUGUGCAUGCUAUGUGGGACGGAGCUGUGCCACUGAGGCAGGAGAAGAUUUGAUAAAGUGUUGCAAAACUGAAGAACUGCCUCUGCUUCAUGAGAGCACUUUCCAAGACUCCUAUACAAGAUUCCUGGCCACCAGAGAUCUGCUCUUCAAAUUAACGCCUGCUAAUGUUGGGCUUGAUUAAAGGAAGCUAAUGAAGCCAUUUGAAGGAUGCCCUCCAGCCUUCCCUCUCUGUGUCCAUGUUCCCUUGGCAGAAAUCGGGGAUUUGAAAGCUGCAAUUCAACAGCAUCAUCCUUUCAUGUUGUGGACUGCCUGGCCUAUGAAUGGGACCUGCCCCAUGCUGUGUAUUACUAGGAGCCCGCUGGAGAACAAGGGUCUCAGAAGCUCACCUCCUCUUCGCCAUCACCAGAGUCUCCGGUGCCAUCUAUGUCUCCGUCCUCGGCGCUGCUAUCCAGGGGCGCCCCACCAAAGCUGUCCAGAGCCUCUUCGGCGUCGCG
Long non-coding RNA from Lagopus muta (rock ptarmigan), 822 nucleotides. RefSeq lists it as uncharacterized. The record is from RefSeq and is a predicted model, not a curated record. NCBI's taxonomy places the organism in Eukaryota, Metazoa, Chordata, Aves, Galliformes, Phasianidae. The transcript is spliced from 5 exons.